RNAcentral lists this ribosomal RNA (308 nucleotides) under Bacillus velezensis. RNAcentral's name for it is "bacterial LSU rRNA". It matches the Rfam family "Bacterial large subunit ribosomal RNA", at positions 804 to 1110 of the family's 2925-position model. Lineage: Bacteria; Bacillati; Bacillota; Bacilli; Caryophanales; Bacillaceae. The record is from RNAcentral.
AUGAGGUGUGGGUAGGGGUGAAAUGCCAAUCGAACCUGGAGAUAGCUGGUUCUCUCCGAAAUAGCUUUAGGGCUAGCCUCAAGGUAAGAGUCUCGGAGGUAGAGCACUGAUUGGACUAGGGGCCCCUACCGGGUUACCGAAUUCAGUCAAACUCCGAAUGCCGAUGACUUAUCCUUGGGAGGCAGACUGCGAGUGAUAAGAUCCGUAGUCGAAAGGGAAACAGCCCAGACCGCCAGCUAAGGUCCCAAAGUAUACGUUAAGUGGAAAAGGAUGUGGAGUUGCUUAGACAACCAGGAUGUUGGCUUAGA